AUUUAGGGGACAUCCAUAAAGUGGGGAAAACUCUGUACCUAUUAAUCUGUUUAACUGUUAAUCUAAGGGGAGGAGAGGGAGGGGAGGUGUCCACGAUAUGAUUGGGUACUGUAGUAAUUGUGAAAGUUACCUCCCUUGCAUGGGAGAAAUGCAUAAAAGCAGACCUGUGAAUAAAGCUGUCAGUUGACUCCCAGACUAUGUGUCGUCUAGUCCUUGGGGAGGUGGAUUAUGCUGUGUUCCUGUGAUUUUGUAUGCUGAAUCUUUGUUCCCAGCGGAGAGCUAUUGGAUUAACCCCUGCUAC
RNAcentral lists this long non-coding RNA (301 nucleotides) under Pelobates cultripes (western spadefoot toad). The record is from RNAcentral. Lineage: Eukaryota; Metazoa; Chordata; Amphibia; Anura; Pelobatidae.